UACGUAGGGUGCAAGCGUUUAUCGGAAUUUCUGGACGUAAAGCGUGCGCUGGCGGCUUUGCAAGACAGAUGUGAAAUCCCCGGGCUUAACCUGGGAACUGCAUUUGUGACUGCAUGGCUGGAGUGCGGCAGAGGGGGAUGGAAUUCCGCGUGUAGCAGUGAAAUGCGUAGAUAUGCGGAGGAACACCGAUGGCGAAGGCAAUCCCCUGGGCCUGCACUGACGCUCAUGCACGAAAGCGUGGGGAGCAAACAGG
This 253-nucleotide ribosomal RNA is filed under the name uncultured bacterium. RNAcentral describes it as "partial 16S ribosomal RNA". It matches the Rfam family "Bacterial small subunit ribosomal RNA", at positions 524 to 776 of the family's 1533-position model. The record is from RNAcentral.